AACGCACAUUGCGCCCCUUGGUAUUCCAUGGGGCAUGCCUGUUCGAGCGUCAUUUGUACCUUCAAGCUCUGCUUGGUGUUGGGUGUUUGUCCCCGUUUUAUGCGCGGGACUCGCCUUAAAGCCAAUUGGCAGCCGGCGUACUCGCCUUGGAGCGCAGCACAUUUUGCGUCCCUUGGCCUGAACGCCUGCGUCCACAAAGCCUAUACUUUUGCUCUUGACCUCGGAUCAGGUAGGGAUACCCGCUGAACUUAA
RNAcentral lists this unclassified non-coding RNA (252 nucleotides) under uncultured fungus. RNAcentral's name for it is "partial contains 5.8S ribosomal RNA, internal transcribed spacer 2, and large subunit ribosomal RNA". The record is from RNAcentral. Lineage: Eukaryota; Fungi.